RNAcentral lists this long non-coding RNA (266 nucleotides) under Trifolium pratense (red clover). Its description in RNAcentral is "long non-coding RNA (TPRA_LNC013168)". The record is from RNAcentral. Lineage: Eukaryota; Viridiplantae; Streptophyta; Magnoliopsida; Fabales; Fabaceae.
AUGCGUACCUUGCGAAUGAAGUGGAGACACAUAUAUAUAGCCCCCAGCGCAGGGCCAAGGCCCUUGAUGGCAUUAAUGGCCAUCAAGUGGCUGCCGGAAAACGGCUUGGAAGCCUUGAUGUGCAAUAAAUGCCCAUCAUUCCGGUUUACGGCCGUUACGAUACGUAAGAGUAUCUGACCGUUGGAGGGUCGAGCGCGUCUAGCGGGCUCUUCGUACAUGCUUGCUCGGAUCGUAUGUGUUCGACAUCCUCUUAGGCUCGAGCGUGA